RNAcentral lists this unclassified non-coding RNA (381 nucleotides) under uncultured Sphingomonadaceae bacterium. Its description in RNAcentral is "contains 16S-23S intergenic spacer region". The record is from RNAcentral. Lineage: Bacteria; Pseudomonadati; Pseudomonadota; Alphaproteobacteria; Sphingomonadales; Sphingomonadaceae.
UCGCGGCUUAUCACCGGCAGUCCCCUUAGAGUGCCCAACUGAAUGAUGGCAACUAGGGAUAAGGGUUGCGCUCGUUAAGGGACUUAACCCGACAUCUCACGAUACGAGCUGACGACAGCCAUGCAGCACCUGUCACCGGUCCAGCCGAACUGAAGGGAUCCAUCUCUGGAACCCGCGACCGGGAUGUCAAACGCUGGUAAGGUUCUGCGCGUUGCUUCGAGUUAAACCACAUGCUCCACCGCUUGUGCAGGCCCCCGUCAAUUUCUUUGAGUUUUAACCUUGCGGCCGUACUCCCCAGGCGGAUAACUUAAUGCGUUAGCUGCGCCACCGAAGACCUAAGGCCCCCGACAGCUAGUUAUCAUCGUUUACGGCGUGGACUAC